GACGAACGCUGGCGGCGUGCUUAACACAUGCAAGUCGAACGGAAAGGCCCUGCUUUUGUGGGGUGCUCGAGUGGCGAACGGGUGAGUAACACGUGAGUAACCUGCCCUUGACUUUGGGGUAACUUCAGGAAACUGGGGCUAAUACCGGAUAGGAGCUUCUGCUGCAUGGUGGUGGUUGGUAAGUUUCGGCGGUUGGGGAUGGACUCGCGGCUUAUCAGUUUGUUGGUGGGGUAGUGGCUUACCAAGGCUUUGACGGGUAGCCGGCCUGAGAGGGUGGCCGGCCACAUUGGGACUGAGAUACGGCCCAGAAUCCUACGGGAGGCAGCAGUGGGGAAUAUUGCAAAAUGGGCGGAAGCCUGAGGCAGCAACGCCGCGUGCGGGAUGACGGCCUUCGGGGUGUAAACCGCUUUCGCCGGUGACGAAGAGUGAGUGACGGUAAUGGGUAAAGAAGCAACGGCUAACUACGUG
RNAcentral lists this ribosomal RNA (468 nucleotides) under uncultured bacterium. Its description in RNAcentral is "partial 16S ribosomal RNA". It matches the Rfam family "Bacterial small subunit ribosomal RNA", at positions 28 to 507 of the family's 1533-position model. The record is from RNAcentral.